Molecule: ribosomal RNA, 490 nt
Filed under: uncultured bacterium
Lineage: Bacteria
Description: bacterial SSU rRNA
Rfam family: Bacterial small subunit ribosomal RNA
Source: RNAcentral
CUACGUGCCAGCAGCCGCGGUAAUACGUAGGGCGCGAGCGUUGUCCGGAAUUAUUGGGCGUAAAGAGCUUGUAGGCGGUUUGUCGCGUCUGCUGUGAAAGGCCGGAGCUUAACUCCGUGUAUUGCAGUGGGUACGGGCAGACUAGAGUGCAGUAGGGGAGACUGGAAUUCCUGGUGUAGCGGUGGAAUGCGCAGAUAUCAGGAGGAAUACCGAUGGCGAAGGCAGGUCUCUGGGCUGUAACUGACGCUGAGAAGCGAAAGCAUGGGGAGCGAACAGGAUUAGAUACCCUGGUAGUCCAUGCCGUAAACGUUGGGCACUAGGUGUGGGGAACAUUCCACGUUUUCCGCGCCGUAGCUAACGCAUUAAGUGCUCCGCCUGGGGAGUACGGCCGCAAGGCUAAAACUCAAAGAAAUUGACGGGGGCCCGCACAAGCGGCGGAGCAUGCGGAUUAAUUCGAUGCAACGCGAAGAACCUUACCAAGGCUUGACAU